RNAcentral lists this ribosomal RNA (429 nucleotides) under Bacteroidota bacterium. RNAcentral describes it as "Bacteroidetes bacterium partial 16S ribosomal RNA". It matches the Rfam family "Bacterial small subunit ribosomal RNA", at positions 355 to 776 of the family's 1533-position model. The record is from RNAcentral. Lineage: Bacteria; Pseudomonadati; Bacteroidota.
UAGGGAAUCUUCCGCAAUGGGCGAAAGCCUGACGGAGCAACGCCGCGUGAGUGAUGAAGGUCUUCGGAUCGUAAAACUCUGUUAUUAGGGAAGAAUAAAUGUGUAAGUAACUAUGCACGUCUUGACGGUACCUAAUCAGAAAGCCACGGCUAACUACGUGCCAGCAGCCGCGGUAAUACGUAGGUGGCAAGCGUUAUCCGGAAUUAUUGGGCGUAAAGCGCGCGUAGGCGGUUUUUUAAGUCUGAUGUGAAAGCCCACGGCUCAACCGUGGAGGGUCAUUGGAAACUGGAAAACUUGAGUGCAGAAGAGGAGAGUGGAAUUCCAUGUGUAGCGGUGAAAUGCGUAGAUAUAUGGAGGAACACCAGUGGCGAAGGCGACUUUCUGGUCUGUAACUGACGCUGAUGUGCGAAAGCGUGGGGAUCAAACAGG